Long non-coding RNA from Lycium ferocissimum, 438 nucleotides. RefSeq lists it as uncharacterized. Lineage: Eukaryota; Viridiplantae; Streptophyta; Magnoliopsida; Solanales; Solanaceae. The transcript is spliced from 2 exons. The record is from RefSeq and is a predicted model, not a curated record.
GUGAAGACAGGCAUAUAGUACAAUGAUUUUGUGAAUGCAGUUUUCGAUCGAUUAGGCAUUGAUCCUUCAGAUAAAGUCUUGCAGUUUACAGUGAAGUUUGAUAAGGCCCAAUUGAUACGGCUGAGAGACCAAGAAGGUGUCAAUACGUUGUUACAAGUUAAUGAUGGUUUUGCCCAUGUUUAUGCGUCAAGUUCCGAAAAGAAGUCUCAUUCGGCAGUUGCUCCUAAUAUGACUAUCACUACGGUUUCAACCACUGAGGUCGAAGCAGUCUCUCUCGGAAGUGCUGAGGAAGAACAAGUGAGUGCCGAUACUCCAAUUCCUGCACCUUCACACCAAUGGAUCACUGAUGGAACUCCAGAUGCUGCUGCCAACUGGAGUGAAUUACUUGUUGGGGAAGGACAAGCCUUUCGAGAACGCUGAUGCUUUUAGGAAGAACAA